Molecule: ribosomal RNA, 250 nt
Filed under: uncultured bacterium
Lineage: Bacteria
Description: partial 16S ribosomal RNA
Rfam family: Bacterial small subunit ribosomal RNA
Source: RNAcentral
GACGGAGGGUGCUAGCGUUGUUCGGAAUUACUGGGCGUAAAGGGCGCGUAGGCGGCCGCUUGCGUCGGAUGUGAAAGCCCGGGGCUCAACCCCGGAACGGCAUCCGAUACGGGGCGGCUGGAGACCGGGAGAGGAGGGUGGAAUAGCCAGUGUAGAGGUGAAAUUCGUAGAUAUUGGCUGGAACACCGGUGGCGAAAGCGGCUCUCUGGCCCGGUUCUGACGCUGAGGCGCGAAAGCGUGGGGAGCAAAC